UACGUAGGGGGCAAGCGUUGUCCGGAUUUAUUGGGCGUAAAGGGCUCGUAGGCGGUUUGUCGCGUCGGGAGUGAAAUCAUCUGGCUUAACUGGGUGCUUGCUUUCGAUACGGGCAGACUAGAGGUAUGCAGGGGAGAACGGAAUUCCUGGUGUAGCGGUGAAAUGCGCAGAUAUCAGGAGGAACACCGGUGGCGAAGGCGGUUCUCUGGGCAUGAUCUGACGCUGAGGAGCGAAAGUGUGGGGAGCGAACAGG
This 253-nucleotide ribosomal RNA is filed under the name uncultured bacterium. RNAcentral describes it as "partial 16S ribosomal RNA". It matches the Rfam family "Bacterial small subunit ribosomal RNA", at positions 524 to 776 of the family's 1533-position model. The record is from RNAcentral.